This 405-nucleotide ribosomal RNA is filed under the name uncultured bacterium. Its description in RNAcentral is "bacterial SSU rRNA". It matches the Rfam family "Bacterial small subunit ribosomal RNA", at positions 355 to 776 of the family's 1533-position model. The record is from RNAcentral.
UAAGGAAUAUUGCACAAUGGGGGAAACCCUGAUGCAGCAACGCCGCGUGGGCGAUGAAGGCCUUCGGGUCGUAAAGCCCUUUUCUGGGGGAAGAGGAAGGACAGUACCCCAGGAAUAAGUCUCGGCUAACUACGUGCCAGCAGCCGCGGUAAAACGUAGGAGGCGAGCGUUAUCCGGAUUUACUGGGCGUAAAGCGCGUGCAGGCGGCUGUGCAAGUUGGGUGUGAAAUCUCCCGGCUCAACUGGGAGGGGUCAUCCAAAACUGUGCGGCUUGAGGGCAGGAGAGGGAAGCGGAAUUCCCGGUGUAGCGGUAAUAUGCGCAGAUAUCGGGAGGAACACCAGUGGCGAAGGCGGCUUCCUGGCCUGUACCUGACGCUGAGACGCGAAAGCCAGGGGAGCGAACGGG